GACGAACGCUGGCGGCGUGCUUAACACAUGCAAGUCGAACGGAAAGGCCCUGCUUUUGUGGGGUGCUCGAGUGGCGAACGGGUGAGUAACACGUGAGUAACCUGCCCUUGACUUUGGGAUAACUUCAGGAAACUGGGGCUAAUGCCGGAUAGGAGCUCCUGCUGCAUGGUGGGGGUUGGAAAGUUUCGGCGGUUGGGGAUGGACUCGCGGCUUAUCAGCUUGUUGGUGGGGUAGUGGCUUACCAAGGCUUUGACGGGUAGCCGGCCUGAGAGGGUGACCGGCCACAUUGGGACUGAGAUACGGCCCAGACUCCUACGGGAGGCAGCAGUGGGGAAUAUUGCACAAUGGGCGGAAGCCUGAUGCAGCAACGCCGCGUGCGGGAUGAAGGCCUUCGGGUUGUAAACCGCUUUCGCCUGUGACGAAGCGUGAGUGACGGUAAUGGGUAAAGAAGCACCGGCUAACUACGUG
This 468-nucleotide ribosomal RNA is filed under the name uncultured bacterium. Its description in RNAcentral is "partial 16S ribosomal RNA". It matches the Rfam family "Bacterial small subunit ribosomal RNA", at positions 28 to 507 of the family's 1533-position model. The record is from RNAcentral.